GCAACCCUUUGGGAACAUCCGAUAAAAUUAGAACGAUAAAGAAAAGAUCAGCAUGGCUCUUCGUCAAGGAUGACGCGCACAAAUCGAGAAAUUGUCCAAUUUUUU
This is a small nuclear RNA of Gastrolobium bilobum, 105 nucleotides long. The record is from RefSeq and is a predicted model, not a curated record. Lineage: Eukaryota; Viridiplantae; Streptophyta; Magnoliopsida; Fabales; Fabaceae.